UACGGAGGAUGCAAGCGUUAUCCGGAAUCAUUGGGCGUAAAGCGUCCGCAGGUGGAAGUUCAAGUCGAUUGUCAAAGGCAGUAGCUUAACUACUGACAGGCAGUGGAAACUGAACGACUAGAGUGAGGUAGGGGUAGAGGGAAUUCCCGGUGUAGCGGUGAAAUGCGUAGAGAUCGGGAAGAACACCAGUGGCGAAAGCGCUCUGCUGGACCUUAACUGACACUGAGGGACGAAAGCUAGGGGAGCGAAUGGG
This 253-nucleotide ribosomal RNA is filed under the name uncultured bacterium. RNAcentral's name for it is "partial 16S ribosomal RNA". It matches the Rfam family "Bacterial small subunit ribosomal RNA", at positions 524 to 776 of the family's 1533-position model. The record is from RNAcentral.